This 512-nucleotide long non-coding RNA is filed under the name Phoenix dactylifera (date palm). RNAcentral's name for it is "long non-coding RNA (PDAC_LNC018236)". The record is from RNAcentral. Lineage: Eukaryota; Viridiplantae; Streptophyta; Magnoliopsida; Arecales; Arecaceae.
UGUGACGGAGGUUAUGAAUAUCUCGUCAAACCCCAUCGUCCGUCAUAUGUCAAAUUUAUACGACUUUCAGUUCGAGAUAUGGAAAACUCUUUUUUCAAAAUAUCUGACCAGAAAUUUAUCGAACUCAGUCUCAUAAAUCACAUAGGAUCACUCCUAAUCUAUCAAGGUCGAUAGAUCCCAUCUAGAUGCAACUCUAUUCCAAAAUGAACCUACUGUAGCCAAUCCGCACUACAAGGAUCCGAAUGGCUAGGGCCAAAGUUCACAUGCUCGUCAAACUAGAACAACGUCAUAGUGAAUAGCCGAGGCAUCGCAAGUCAAAGGACCAGUCAUACAACUGCAGCAUAAGUAGUCACUGACGAGUGGAUAGACAUCCAUGUGACUACUAUCUUUGGUCACACUUAGUACUUUAUUCCCUAACAAGUACUUGCAUAAUCACUCCAGUGUCUCUACACCAUGGACUCGAGACUCGUCCAUCUAACUAAGUGAUCUGUGCACUAAUCUCAGCGGAUCGA